AUUUUUGUCUAGUAUUCAUGUUAUAGACAUCAGAAUUUAAUUUGAAUUUAUCUUUGUUGUAAGACUUUGUUGUAAAUUAAGACCAAGGAACCUUACAUUACAAUUUUACCCACUUAAAAUUUAACAAAAGGGCAUAAAAAAUUGAAAAGCAUCUUUUUUUAGCAGUAUCUAUCAUUAAAAACUAGCACUGUUGGCAGUUCUUGAAUUACAUGUGGCUGGCAUGUUUACUAUAAUUUGCAUAAAAGUUUGCAAAAAAAAAAAAUAUGGAACAUAACACACGAACAGUGUAGUUAGUUUCAACUUACAUCUAAACGGUGUGGGAUUUAUCAAAUCAAGUACUAAACAUUGUAAUUAUAAAAUUAUAAUUAUAAUUAUUCCCAAAGAUAUUUAUGGGGGUCUGUCAGCCAUGUCAGCCAUGAUAGUAAAACAAAACUGCGCGUGGUAAAACAAGUCUAAGAGAACGAACAUGGUUACCAAUUAAUUCAAAUCACAGAAUAUUUGGUUACAGAUUAAUUUUUGAAGAUAAACAAGAUUUCGAUUUGAGGUUUUCACCGCACGGCGGUGACUACUGGGGGUUGUAACGCCGUAUAGUAUGGAGCCGUACGGUCUGUUCUAGCAAUUUCGGAGGCACCUUUCAACAGACUCUCUUUUUCCUGUUGCUCCAACUUUGGAGCAUAUGGCAUCCGUGAAUUCUUACUCCUUAGAGCUCAUUAUCUCCUUAGACAGUCGGUAGGGUCGGUAGGUGUCCUUGUCUGGGGGCAGGAAAGCUUUGAUCAUAGAAAUGUCUCGUGUUUGGAAAACAGAAACUGCCCACAUUCAAGAAAAUGUGACAAGGAUAGUAUGUUUGCCUAGCAACGGCGAGUAAAUAGCUGUUGCUAGGCAAAGCGAGUAAACACAUGUUGCUACGCAAAGCGAGUAAACAGAUCUUGAAAGGCAGAUCGAGUAAACGGCUGUUGCUAGGCAACACUCCUUCACUCCUGUGAAGGACGUGUUGAGUGGUAGUGUGCGAAACUGAGAGCUCCUUAGUUUAAGUACAAAAGAGCAGUUUAGUUCGGCAAUCUUCACAGUCAGCUGGUCGUGCAAAAUGAAGAAAUUUUGAAAUCUGUUGGAACUGCCACAAAGACAUCUUUUGUCCGUACCAUGAAGUGUGAAAUAGGGGGCUAGUGGACCAGUUGUCUUCAGUUUCAGGGCAUUUGUUGAUUCCUGUCAUGAACACAAUUCCUAAGUAUGUCCAGAUUUCAUCUGGUGUGACAUAUUUGUAAUUGUGUUCUUGAGAGUGUGGAGCUAACUCGUGUGUUGAAGUGCUGGAAAGUAUUACAAGAUUUGGGAAUACUCUCAGCAUUCAGAGCUAUUCUUCAUGUUCCAAAUAUAUCACAGGCAAAACAUUUAAUGGUUGUUCUUGAACGGUCCAGUGUUUUCUCUAAAGACGAUUUAUCAUCAAUAUAUCACAAGAUACAUGGUCACAGGGUGUUCAUUGGCAUGAAGAAACUGCUGGAUUUGAUUGGCAUGGUUCGCCAGGUGGAGGAGCAGAAUAGAGUUGUGACAUUCCUUACUAACCUUGAAGACUUUACUAAACUUUCAGAAGAAGAACUAGGCGUGGGUUCGCCUAGAAACUAAAAUCACAUUUUAUGGAAGAGACAAGUGUCACAUUAGAAUGUUUUCUCAAUAUCAUCCUUUAUUUCAAAAUUGGAAUCAUACAGGGUAUAAGUAUUACUUUAUUAUUCCAAUUAUGUACCUAAAGAGAGCAUAAUUUAUAAUUCAUUACACUACAUAAAAUGUGUUUUUGUUUAUUGUUGUGUUAUAGUCAGGUCACUCGUAGAAAUACUGACUAGAAGUUUGGAAACUGUAAAAAUUCCAUUGAUUAGAUUUUGAUGUGUAAUAUCCUGCUUCCUCCUGCAAGGAAGAUGCAGUUGCUAGCAAUAUCAUCCCUUAUUUCAAAAUUGGAAUCAUACGGGCUAUAAGAAUUGCUUUAUUAUUCCAAUUAUAUACCUAAAGAGAGAAUAAUUUAUAAUUCAUUACACUACAUAAAAUGUGUUUUUGUUUAUUGUUGUGUUAUAGUCAGGUCACUCGUAGAAAUACUGACUAGAAGUUUGGAAACUGUAAAAAUUCCAUUGAUUAGAUUUUGAUGUGU
Cryptotermes secundus is the source of this 2131-nucleotide RNA transcript. It is a transcript of the gene named vesicle-fusing ATPase 1-like, with no coding region annotated. The transcript has 4 exons. The record is from RefSeq and is a predicted model, not a curated record. NCBI's taxonomy places the organism in Eukaryota, Metazoa, Arthropoda, Insecta, Blattodea, Kalotermitidae.